UGGUAUCCUAGAAAGAAGCAGUCACAGAGGACUUCCUGGAGGAGAGGAUAGUCCACCUCCAUAAAAGCAGUAUGGUUUUGAUGGGGAGAAAGUGUAAUUAUACACUGUAGCAAUAACCAAGAUAUUAGGUGAAUAUUAGAGGAAUGCUAAGUCACAAAGUAAUUGAUGGGAUUUAGUGAUUGAUUAAAUAGAAGAGAAAUGCAAGGUGAAUCCUCAGUCUUCAGCCUUAAAUAUUUUUGACAGUAGUCACUUUAACAAGAUCCUAUAUGGGAGCCAGGUUGGUGCAGGAAGGUGGGGUAGAGGAUGGGGGAGGGGUCAGGUAUCCAGUUUCAGAAACAUUUAGUCUUUAAGGUCAUAAGGGGACAGCCAAGGAAAACUACAUUCUCUCUCUUUUUCUCUCUCAUGCACGUGCACACACACACACAUCCACCCACCCACCCACCUGGGCUCUUGGUAUUGGAAGCGCAAAGUCCUAACCUCUGGGCUGCCAGGGAAUUCCCAGAGACUGUACAUUCUUGAUUGGGAUCUGGGAGAAAGGCUGGAGCUUGGGGAAAUAAGUUAGAAAUCAAUAGAUCAGAAACAAUCAUUGAGCUCCCAAGAAUAAAUUAUGUCUUGAAGGACAUAGGAAACAAAAGCAAUAAAGAGAUUUGGGGACUGGAAUGGUGUUAAAAAUUAGUGGGCAGUAAAUGUGAGAGGGAGAAGAGAAGGAACAGAAGCAGAAAAAGAAAUGGGGAGGGGCGUGUCCAUAGCUGUGGUGGUCUGAAUGUCUUCUCUGAAGGAUGUCCAGAUGCUAAUCCCUGGAGCCCAAGAAAAUGUUACUUUACCUGAUAGGAGGUACUUUGCAGCUGUGGUUGAUUGUGGUGGGAACUGGAUUGUCUCAGUGGACCCACUGUAAUCACAAUCCUUCGAAGAAGGAGAUAGGAGGAUGAGUGUCAGAAAAGGAGAUGUGAUGACAGGUAAAGGCCUGAGUGAUGCGGGGCCAUGAGCCAGGGAAUGGCAGCAGCCUCUGAAAGCUGGAGGAGGCAAGGAGCAGGUUCUCCCUAGAGCUUCCCAGAAGAAAACAGUUCUUUUUAUAAAAGUCUUUAUUGAAUGUGUUACAGUAUUGCUUUUGUUUUACCUUUUGGCUUUUUGACUGCUAGGGUUAUGGGAUCUUAGCUUCCCCACCCCCUGCGCUGGCAGGUGAAAUUUUAAUCACUCGAGCACCAACAAAGCCCCAGGAACACAAAUCUGCUGACUCAUUUAACCUUCUUUCAGAACUGGAAGAGAAUAAAUUUGUGUUGCUGUAAGCCACUAAGUUUGUAAUUUGUUACAGCAGUGAUAGAAAACUAAUGCAGGGGUUAACAACGGAAAACAACCUAAAUUCCUAGCAGUGACAGAUUGGUUAAAUAAGUUACAGUACAUUACUGUGGUGGACUAUUGUAGUUAGCCAUUAAAAAUUAUGCCAUUAAAGAUCAUCUAAUAAUAUAGGCAAUGUUCAUAAUAGAUUGCUAAAUACAGAAAGCAAGUAAAGAUAUUAUAGGUAUUUAUGUGAAAAAUUCAUCGAGGUACACUUAAGAGUUACACAUUUUUUGCACUGAACGUAGGCAUGGUAUACCUCAAUAAAGUUUUGCAGAUAUUAUAUAGAUGUCCUGUUUUGUUCCAAGAAGAGAAGUGUAUUAAACCUGUAUUAAACCAGUGUAUCCAAAUAGGAAAAAGACUGAGACUGUAUAAACCAUAUGUUAAUAAUGUCUACCUCUGGGUGGCAGAUUACAGAUGAUUUUUAUAUUCAUUUUGUUAUUUCUGUGAAUUCCAGUUUUUCUUCAGUGAACAGGUAUUACUUUUGUGAUCAAAAAUUAGUUUUUAAAAAUCAAGGAAAAUGGGUAGAGGGAAAGUCUGAAGAAAGCUUUGUAUGCUCAAGGGCAAGGGCCCUGGAGCGCCUGGCACAACCAACCCACUAUCAACAAUUUUCUGCAAAUAGGUGAUUUUUUAAAAAAUUGUAUCCCCUCCACCCCCAACAGAAAGGGAUUCAAUCCUGGGGACGAAGAAGGAAGAAGAACAAAGGCAAGAAUAUAGAGGAAAUGACUGGAGGAUGUGGUAUGCCAAAGUGAGACAAUAAAUCAAGAAACAAGAAGACAUGUGAUCCUGGAAACAGGAUAUUCAACAGAGGAACUCAGGAGUGAAAGCAUAUCAGCCACAAAAUCAGAGCAGCAGAGUUCUCUUUGGCCACCUGAUGUGAAGAGCCAACUCAUUGGAAAAGACCCUGAUGCUGGGAAAGACUGAGGGCAGGAUAAAGAGG
Molecule: long non-coding RNA, 2275 nt
Organism: Capra hircus (goat)
Lineage: Eukaryota; Metazoa; Chordata; Mammalia; Artiodactyla; Bovidae
Exons: 3
Source: RefSeq, a predicted model, not a curated record